RNAcentral lists this ribosomal RNA (484 nucleotides) under uncultured bacterium. Its description in RNAcentral is "partial 16S ribosomal RNA". It matches the Rfam family "Bacterial small subunit ribosomal RNA", at positions 30 to 507 of the family's 1533-position model. The record is from RNAcentral.
AUUGAACGCUGGCGGCAGGCCUAACACAUGCAAGUCGAGCGGAUGAAGGGAGCUUGCUCCUGGAUUCAGCGGCGGACGGGUGAGUAAUGCCUAGGAAUCUGCCUGGUAGUGGGGGAUAACGUCCGGAAACGGGCGCUAAUACCGCAUACGUCCUGAGGGAGAAAGAGGGGGAUCUUCGGACCUCACGCUAUCAGAUGAGCCUAGGUCGGAUUAGCUAGUUGGUGGGGUAAAGGCCUACCAAGGCGACGAUCCGUAACUGGUCUGAUAGGAUGAUCAGUCACCCUGGAACUGAGACACGGUCCAGACUCCUACGGGAGGCAGCAGUGGGGAAUAUUGGACAAUGGGCGAAAGCCUGAUCCAGCCAUGCCGCGUGUGUGAAGAAGGUCUUCGGAUUGUAAAGCACUUUAAGUUGGGAGGAAGGGCAGUAAGUUAAUACCUUGCUGUUUUGACGUUACCAACAGAAUAAGCACCGGCUAACUUCGUG